ACAUCCGUUAAUUUGCAUGAGGCUGUGAGAAAAAAAAUCUUUGAAGAAGUCUGGCUGUCGGGCAGGCCAGUGUAGAAAAUGGCGAGAACACGGUUUCCUGGAGCAUGAAGCUGUGUCUGAGCAUCUUUUGACACCGUCCCAGGAAGAAGAGGCUCAGUCAGCUCUGAGAAGCCCCUCUGAAAAAGCUGGUGUAGGAGGGAGAGAAGUACUAACGGGUACAGGACUGUCCAGAUAACUGCCUCCUUUCGGCUGACCCAGUAAUUUGCAGCUCUGCUUUCUGGUCCCUGACACUUCAGCUAAGAUGUGCCCAGAGACACAAAUGAACAGCCUUGCUCUGAUACAGGUGGCACAAGGGCACGAUUAUCUUUUGAGAAUGGAACUGUUGAACUGUUGAAUGGAACUUGAUCUCCUGAAGCAAUAAACUGACUGUCACAAGGAAGGGGACGGGUCGAUGCCCAUGAGACUAAUUCAGACUGUCUAACCACGGUUCUGCAUGUGCAUAUGAGUUCAUAUUCGUGUCCACGUCAGGGACAAACAAGCCCUAAGUGCCCAUAGUAUAUUCAAAGCCGAGGCAGCAAAGAAACCCCUGUAUAAAUGCCCUUUUGUUAGUCUAUAGGAGGGACCCUUGUUAAUCUCCCUCUCAGAUAGAGUCUUUUUUUUAAAGAUUUUAUUUUUUCCUUUUUCUCCCCAAAGCCCCCCAGUACAUAGCUGUAUAUUCUUCGUUGUGGGUCCUUCGAGUUGUGGCAUGUGGGACGCUGCCUCAGCAUGGUUUGAUGAGCAGAGCCAUGUCCGCGCCCAGGAUUCGAACCAACGAAACACUGGGCCACCUGGAGGGGAGCGCGCAAACUUAACCACUCGGCCACGGGGCCAGCCCCUGAAGUCUUUUUAUUAUAAUUAACAGAAAAGAAGCCCCAUAGAUAUGGCAUUGUUAACCCACUUUUCAGCAGCGUAUCUCAGGACCACUCCAUUGGGUUGGUGGUAGAGGGGCAGAAGGACGUUCAAGGAAGGAAUGAGGCAGAUGUGGUCGUAUUUACGUCGUGAUGAUAACCCUGGAUGAACACGUGCAUCUCUAUUGUCAGUGCUAUAAAACAUACUGUCAAUAAAUCAAUGCAAACGCACCUUCUGGCUCCUGUUUCCACAGGAUGAUCUGAUCACGCCUUAGCAGCCUUACACUUACUGCACCCUG
This 1186-nucleotide long non-coding RNA is filed under the name Equus asinus (donkey). Its description in RNAcentral is "lncRNA (ENSEASG00005029331.1)". Lineage: Eukaryota; Metazoa; Chordata; Mammalia; Perissodactyla; Equidae. The record is from RNAcentral.